Molecule: ribosomal RNA, 460 nt
Filed under: uncultured bacterium
Lineage: Bacteria
Description: partial 16S ribosomal RNA
Rfam family: Bacterial small subunit ribosomal RNA
Source: RNAcentral
GCUACGGGAGGCAGCAGUGAGGAAUAUUGGUCAAUGGGCGGGAGCCUGAACCAGCCAAGUCGCGUGAGGGACGACGGUCCUAUGGAUUGUAAACCUCUUUUGUCGGGGAACAAAGGCGCCCACGGGUGGGCGGCUGAGUGUACCCGAAGAAAAAGCAUCGGCUAACUCCGUGCCAGCAGCGGGGGUAAUACGGAGGAUCCAAGAGUUAUCCGGAUUUAGUGGGGUUAAAGGGUGCGUAGGCGGAGUGAAAAGUUAGAGGUGAAAUGUCCGAGCUUAUCUCGGGAGCUGCCGCUAUUACUGUUGAUCUAGAGAGUAGAUGCGGUAGGCGGAAUGGAUGGUGUAGCGGUGAAAUGCUGAGAGAGCAUACAGAACACCGAUUGCGAAGGCAGCUUACCAAUCUAUAUCUGACGUUGAGGCACGAAAGCGUGGGGAGCAAACAGGAUUAGAUACCCCUGUAGUC